AUGAACGCUGGCGGCGUGCUUAACACAUGCAAGUCGAACGAUGAUCCGGUGCUUGCACCGGGGAUUAGUGGCGAACGGGUGAGUAACACGUGAGUAACCUGCCCUUAACUCUGGGAUAAGCCUGGGAAACUGGGUCUAAUACCGGAUAUGACUCCUCAUCGCAUGGUGGGGGGUGGAAAGCUUUAUUGUGGUUUUGGAUGGACUCGCGGCCUAUCAGCUUGUUGGUGAGGUAAUGGCUCACCAAGGCGACGACGGGUAGCCGGCCUGAGAGGGUGACCGGCCACACUGGGACUGAGACACGGCCCAGACUCCUACGGGAGGCAGCAGUGGGGAAUAUUGCACAAUGGGCGCAAGCCUGAUGCAGCGACGCCGCGUGAGGGAUGACGGCCUUCGGGUUGUAAACCUCUUUCAGUAGGGAAGAAGCGAAAGUGACGGUACCUGCAGAAGAAGCGCCGGCUAACUACGU
RNAcentral lists this ribosomal RNA (466 nucleotides) under uncultured bacterium. Its description in RNAcentral is "bacterial SSU rRNA". It matches the Rfam family "Bacterial small subunit ribosomal RNA", at positions 29 to 506 of the family's 1533-position model. The record is from RNAcentral.